CAAGUCGAACGAGAAAGGGUAGCAAUACCUGAGUAAAGUGGCGUACGGGUGAGUAACACGUGGAUGAUCUACCUCUUGGCGGGGAAUACCUCUGGGAAACCGGAGACAAUACCGCAUAAGCUCGAGAGAGGAAACCCGCAAGGGGCCGAGAGAGGAGUCCGCGGCCGAUUAGCUAGUUGGUAGGGUAAAGGCCUACCAAGGCGAAGAUCGGUAGCCGGCCUGAGAGGGCACACGGCCACACUGGCACUGAGACACGGGCCAGACUCCUACGGGAGGCAGCAGUGGGGAAUCUUGCACAAUGGGGGAAACCCUGAUGCAGCGACGCCGCGUGAGCGAUGAAGCCCUUCGGGGUGUAAAGCUCUUUCGACGGGAACGAUAAUGACGGUACCCGGAGAAGAAGCUGCGGCUAACUACGUGCCAGCAGCCGCGGUAAUACGUAGGCAGCAAGCGUUGUUCGGAGUUACUGGGCGUAAAGAGUGCGUAGGCGGUGCCCUAAGUCUGUUGUGAAAUCUCCCGGCUUAACUGGGAGGGUGCGGUGGAAACUGGGGUGCUUGAGAGUGGGAGAGGUUAGCGGAAUUCCUGGUGUAGCGGUGAAAUGCGUAGAUAUCAGGAGGAACACCGGUGGUGUAGACGGCUGACUGGACCACGACUGACGCUGAGGCACGAAAGCGUGGGUAGCAAACAGGAUUAGAUACCCUGGUAGUCCACGCCCUAAACGAUGCAUACUUGGUGUGAGCCAUUCAUUUGGUUCGUGCCGGAGCUAACGCGUUUAAGUAUGCCGCCUGGGGGAGUACGGUCGCAAGGCUUGAAACUCAAAGGAAUUGACGGGGGCCCGCACAAGCGGUGGA
This 848-nucleotide ribosomal RNA is filed under the name uncultured Bacillota bacterium. RNAcentral describes it as "bacterial SSU rRNA". It matches the Rfam family "Bacterial small subunit ribosomal RNA", at positions 58 to 936 of the family's 1533-position model. Lineage: Bacteria; Bacillati; Bacillota. The record is from RNAcentral.